Long non-coding RNA from Orcinus orca (killer whale), 355 nucleotides. RefSeq lists it as uncharacterized. The transcript is spliced from 3 exons. The record is from RefSeq and is a predicted model, not a curated record. Lineage: Eukaryota; Metazoa; Chordata; Mammalia; Artiodactyla; Delphinidae.
CUUGAAGUGAGGACCUCUGACGCAAGGCCCAGACCCUCACCGGUCGUUGUCCUCAUCCAGGGAGACUCUCUCAAAGUGUAGGUGCAGCCGGCGUCCCUCAGCUGCUUCGAUGACCCAACGGCAGAGCUAUUGCACCCACACCUUUGCCUGGGACCUGGCCUUGGGAUGACCUCUGCCCUACAGGCUCACCCCAGGACUUUUUUCAGGCCACUACCAGCCUAGCUGAUCAGUUGAUGCCGCCAAGAGGCAAUGUGGAACAGUGCAAAGAGCACUGGAUUUGGAGAUGGGCAGACCUAAGUUCCAGUUCUACUUUCACAACUUAUUAGCUGUAUGGCCUUGAGCAGGUGACUUCACC